This 440-nucleotide ribosomal RNA is filed under the name uncultured bacterium. RNAcentral's name for it is "partial 16S ribosomal RNA". It matches the Rfam family "Bacterial small subunit ribosomal RNA", at positions 338 to 795 of the family's 1533-position model. The record is from RNAcentral.
CCUACGGGGUGCAGCAGUGGGGAAUAUUGCACAAUGGGGGAAACCCUGAUGCAGCGACGCCGCGUGAGUGAAGAAGUAUUUCGGUACGUAAAGCUCUAUCAGCAGGGAAGAAAAUGACGGUACCUGACUAAGAAGCCCCGGCUAACUACGUGCCAGCAGCCGCGGUAAUACGUAGGGGGCAAGCGUUAUCCGGAUUUACUGGGUGUAAAGGGAGCGUAGACGGCAGCGCAAGGCUGGAGUGAAAUCCCAUGGCUUAACCAUGGAACUGCUUUGGAAACUGUGCAGCUAGAGUGCAGGAGAGGUAAGCGGAAUGCCUAGUGUAGCGGUGAAAUGCGUAGAUAUUAGGAAGAACACCAGUGGCGAAGGCGGCUUACUGGACUGUAACUGACGUUGAGGCUCGAAAGCGUGGGGAGCAAACAGGAUUAGAUACCCCUGUAGUC